AGCCCUAAUUCCCCCCUUAAACUGCCCGCCUCUCUCUCCCUCUAAAUUCAAGCGUCGCCGCCGUCCUAAGGGCGGCGUUGCUCCGCCUCAUCUCUGACUCCCUCUUCCAUUCCUUAAUUAGUUCGAUUCUGUUUCCACUUCUUAAACCCAUGAGAAUUCUCCAUUCGAAGCAAUUAAUACAAGAGCCCUAAGAUUUCUUUUUCCUAUA
This 208-nucleotide long non-coding RNA is filed under the name Salvia miltiorrhiza (redroot sage). RNAcentral's name for it is "long non-coding RNA (SMIL_LNC002908)". The record is from RNAcentral. Lineage: Eukaryota; Viridiplantae; Streptophyta; Magnoliopsida; Lamiales; Lamiaceae.